This 667-nucleotide ribosomal RNA is filed under the name uncultured ciliate. RNAcentral describes it as "SSU rRNA". It matches the Rfam family "Eukaryotic small subunit ribosomal RNA", at positions 319 to 1019 of the family's 1831-position model. The record is from RNAcentral. Lineage: Eukaryota; Ciliophora.
CUGGAUGGUAGUGUAUUGGACUACCAUGGCAAUGACGGGUGACGGAGAAUUAGGGUUCGAUUCCGGAGGGGGAGCCUGAGAAAUGGCUACCACAUCUAAGGAAGGCAGCAGGCGCGCAAAUUACCCAAUCCUAAUUUAGGGAGGUAGUGACAAGAAAUAACAACGCGGGGCUAUGUCUCGCGAUUGGAAUGAGAACAAUGUAAAAGCUUUAACGAGGAUCCACUGGAGGGUAAGUCUGGUGCCAGCAGUUGCGGUAAUACCAGCUCCAGUAGCGUAUAUUAAAGUUGUUGCAGUUAAAAAGCUCGUAGUUGAAAUUCUGUACGGAACGACGUCUUUGGAUGAUCGAGCCGUGCAUCCGCCUGAGCAGCAUGCUGGUACUUUGUUGCCGGUAUGUGAUCAGGCACUUUACCUUGAGCAAAUUAGAGUGUUUCAGGCAGGCGUCAGCCUGAAUAGUUCAGUAUGGAAUAAUAGAAGAGGACUGAAAACCACUGUUGGUGUUGUGGUAAUCAGUAAUGAUUAAUAGGGAUAGUUGGGGGCAUUCGUAUUUAAUUGUCAGAGGUGAAAUUCUAUGAUUUAUUAAAGACGAACCUAUGCGAAAGCAUUUGCCAAGGAUGUUUUCAUUAAUCAAGAACGAAAGUUAAGGGAUCAAAGACGAUCAGAUACCGUC